CCUACGGGUGACAGCAGUGGGGGAUAUUGCACAAUGGGGGGAACCCUGAUGCAGCGACGCCGCGUGGGUGAAGAAGCGCCUCGGCGCGUAAAGCCCUGUCAGCAGGGAAGAAAAUGACGGUACCUGAAGAAGAAGCCCCGGCUAACUACGUGCCAGCAGCCGCGGGAAUACGGAGGGGUCAAGCGUUAUCCGGAUUUACUGGGUGUAAAGGGGGCGCAGACGGCCAUGCAAGCCAGGAGUGAAAGCCCGGGGCCCAACCCCGGGACUGCUCUUGGAACUGCGUGGCUGGAGUGCAGGAGGGGCAGGUGGAAUUCCUGGUGUAGCGGUGAAAUGCGUAGAUAUCAGGAGGAACACCGGUGGCGAAGGCGGCCUGCUGGACUGCAACUGACGUUGAGGCCCGAAAGCGUGGGGAGCAAACAGGAUUAGAUACCCCGGUAGUC
This 440-nucleotide ribosomal RNA is filed under the name uncultured bacterium. RNAcentral's name for it is "partial 16S ribosomal RNA". It matches the Rfam family "Bacterial small subunit ribosomal RNA", at positions 338 to 795 of the family's 1533-position model. The record is from RNAcentral.